UACGGAGGGUGCAAGCGUUAAUCGGAAUUACUGGGCGUAAAGCGCACGUAGGUGGUUUGUUAAGCUAGAUGUGAAAGCCCCGGGCUCAACCUGGGAAUUGCAGUCGAUACUGCUCAGCUAGAGUGUGGGAGAGGGUGGUGGAAUUCCCGGUGUAGCGGUGAAAUGCGUAGAUAUCGGGAGGAACAUCAGUGGCGAAGGCGACCGCCUGGCCCAACACUGACGCUGAGGUGCGAAAGCGUGGGUAGCAAACAGG
RNAcentral lists this ribosomal RNA (253 nucleotides) under uncultured bacterium. RNAcentral describes it as "partial 16S ribosomal RNA". It matches the Rfam family "Bacterial small subunit ribosomal RNA", at positions 524 to 776 of the family's 1533-position model. The record is from RNAcentral.